Non-coding RNA from Vicia faba (fava bean), 321 nucleotides. The record is from the annotation of a GenBank genome assembly. NCBI's taxonomy places the organism in Eukaryota, Viridiplantae, Streptophyta, Magnoliopsida, Fabales, Fabaceae.
AUGAAAAGUGAUUCUUUCUAUUCUUAUGUGUUCUGUCUCAUUAUUAUUGUGAAAUUCUAUAACACUACCCAUACUGUUCCAUCAAACCAGAUUCAUUGGUACUCAAACCUAACUCUCUCACCCAUAAUUUCUCCCUCUAGACACACAUAUUCUCCGCAUUUUAGAGGAAAUUGUAAACCUCUAUAUAUUUGUCACCAUUUACCAUCCUUAUCCAAUACAUUGCAAAUGGGAUACCUUUUAACAUCAAUGAUUGAAAAAAGUUGUGGAAUCACAACUAAGGAGCAUUUUGAGUUGGUUGUGGUUGACAAUCAAAUGAGUUAA